GCUGGGGAGAAAGGAAAAGCGUCACGGCGUGGUUUGUACUGGAAGGGACGUUGGAGCCCCUUCAGCUCCACCCUCUGCGCUGGUAGGGACUCCUCCCAUCAGACUAGCGUACGCAAGGCUGUGUUCAGCCUGUCCUUGGGCCCCGCCGUGAAGGGCGCAGCCGCAGCUUCCUAGGGCCAGCGCCUCAUCACCCUCAGCGUGAAGAAUUUUCCUAAUGUCGAAUCUAAAUUAGAUACGUCUUAAAGCUUUUCUGAGGAGCAGCUGAGGGAACUGGGGCUGUUUAGCCUGGAGAAGAGGAGGCUGAGGGAAGACCGUAUAGCCCUCCGCAGCUCACUGCAGGGAGGUUGUAGCGAGGCAGCCACAUGAAGAGCAUGAAGCAAGACAUCCUCCUUCGGCAGCACCGGGAAGGCAUGAGCUACAUCCAGCUCAGCUCAGUUUCUGCCUGUUCACUGUGGUUGUUUCAGAUCCCUUGCGCUUUCUCUAGCAAAUGUGGUGAAGAAAGAAAUGCUGGAUUUUGUGCUUACCUGCUUCCAAAAUAACAUUUGGAAAUAUGUUAUCUCCCAGUUGCAUGUCUAAACAGCAAGGGACAAUCCUAGCCAAGUUAUUAAAAGAAUCCCUUUCAGAUUUACAGUUUGCAAUAUUUUUUUUGGUUACGUUAACCUUCUUGACAAUAUUUUUUCUGGAAAAAAGAGGAACUCCACAUUUAGUGUAUGCUUGCAUUUUCAUUCCUAGAGCUCUUUGCACUUCACUGCUAAUUAACUUUCAAUAACUGUUGGAAGGUUACAGUCAGUCAGCAUGAAUCAGAGGGAGAAUGUAGCUUUAGGGGACUGCACUCUGUCAAAAACGAUUAGAAACCUUUGCUUGAUUUCUAAGAAGAACACACUUGCUCAAGCAGGCUACAGCAGCUAUUAAGCAGUGUUCUGCCAUAGUAAAAAAUCUUUAAUAAAAAAAAAAAAGCAGUGCUUUUGCCAUAGCCCUCCUUCCAGGGUGGCUCUAAGUAAUUAUGCAGCAUUUUUCAUGCUUGCCAUUUGUUUGGAUUCCUUUAGGAAUUAGAGGUGUUGCUUAGGCCAAUGCCUGAGCAGUACUUUUAACUGUUCACGAAUGUAAUUUGAAAUGGGAGAGAAGCAGGGGGUUGCUUAAAGGUGCAGCUCAGCUUGUGGAAGCUCUGCCCUUCCUAGGAUGGAGAAGAGUUGAGACCAGCUCUUGGCUGGGAGAGCUCAGGGGAUUAUGUGGCUGUGGCAGGCAACAAUGCUGGUGGUGCUGGGAAUGGGUUGCAUUUCCAGGAUGCAGUGUGCAGGGCUCUCAAACUCCAUGCUUUUGACAAAUUACCACUUUAGUAAUUAGGAAGGCGGGAGGUGAGCUGUGCAGGGCUGGUGUGUCCCCAGUGUGUGCUUUCCUCUCAGGCUUUUGGAGCUCUGAGUUAUGCCACCCAGUAGACUCGGGCCCCUGAAAUGCUCCUUAAUAUCAUCCACAAUGCCCUUGUCUAGCUACUUAAAAGCUAACUGCAAUGUUAGAUGUAAUUCCAACUCCUCUUUGUGCUGCUGAAUCCUUUUUCUUCCACAAAGACCCCAGCUGCUCAUUGCUGCUAGUAUAUUUGGGCUGUGCAGUCACAGAAAUGGGGAACACUUGUGUCAGGCACUGAUGGAGAGGUCCUUGGGGCUCCUCAAAGCAAAGCCUUGCCUACCUUGGAACCUAGUGCUGCUGGGGAUGGCCCCUCUGCCCUCAGUGUCUGCAAGCCCAUGGUGGGUGCAGUUCCUGCCCCACAUGGUGAUGCUCAUCACCCAGUUCCAGCCUACUAUUUACUUUCUAUCUAGAGUUGAUAGAGGCUUUUAAUUUCCAAGUGUGCUGUUAAAAAUCUCAACACAUGCUCCAGAUUACUAAGGAUGCUUCCUCUGCUUUAUUUACAUUUUCUUUUUCCCCUUUGCUCUUCCUUUCCCCUCCUUGCGUCAGCAAUGGGUGUAAUUUGUUUGCAGAAUUACAGGGUGUUUUAUCUUUCUUU
Molecule: long non-coding RNA, 1999 nt
Organism: Cuculus canorus (common cuckoo)
Lineage: Eukaryota; Metazoa; Chordata; Aves; Cuculiformes; Cuculidae
Exons: 3
Source: RefSeq, a predicted model, not a curated record